CGGAUUUUAGCUAUACCGGAAGUUCUAAACAGGAAGUUGAGAAUAAUCAUUAUUUGGAUUGUUUCUUGUUUGUUCAUUACGUUUCACUGUGUUCAGUUGUUUAUCCCAGAAGCUUUGCUUUCAUUGGUCGAAAAUAGUUUGUGUAUUGUUGUACAUGAUUGUUUUUUACUGUUGAGCGGGAGUUCUGAGAUACCUCAGUUUGGUCACGGUUGUUCUGAGGGUGAACAUCAUUGAUAAUGGUAUAGCUGGUUGUUUCUUCGUAUUGUGGAUCUCCAUGGAACUCUGAUACAAUCUAGACUAAUAUCACAUGUGUGAAAGGAGGUUUGUUGUAAUGUGAGGGAAACAGUCAAUACCAUAUAUUGGUUGUCAUUACAUUACUACCGAUGUAUCUAAAGUUUGAUUAAAUGGAGAUGAACCUACACGAACUUGGUUUUCUUUGUCACAUGUAAAACAAGGUCCAAGUUUACAUUGGCGCCCAACGGGGGACCCACAAUUCAUCUGAAGAGGUAGCUGACAUGGUAACAAGCUUGUACACGUAGAUGUAAGACAUAAACAUUAUUUAGACUCAAGAAUCCAGAGGAUCUCAAAGG
Molecule: long non-coding RNA, 590 nt
Organism: Ruditapes philippinarum (Manila clam)
Lineage: Eukaryota; Metazoa; Mollusca; Bivalvia; Venerida; Veneridae
Exons: 3
Source: RefSeq, a predicted model, not a curated record